Molecule: transfer RNA, 83 nt
Filed under: Sedimentisphaerales bacterium
Lineage: Bacteria; Pseudomonadati; Planctomycetota; Phycisphaerae; Sedimentisphaerales
Description: tRNA-Leu
Rfam family: tRNA
About the family: Transfer RNA (tRNA) molecules are approximately 80 nucleotides in length. Their secondary structure includes four short double-helical elements and three loops (D, anti-codon, and T loops).
Source: RNAcentral
GGCCGAGUGGCGGAAUGGCAGACGCUGGGGACUUAAAAUCCCCUGCCCGUUAGGGUGUGUGGGUUCGACUCCCACCUCGGCUA